AUUGAACGCUGGCGGCAUGCCUCACACAUGCAAGUCGAACGGCAGCACGGGAGCAAUCCUGGUGGCGAGUGGCGAACGGGUGAGUAAUAUAUCGGAACGUGCCCAGUCGUGGGGGAUAACGUAGCGAAAGCUACGCUAAUACCGCAUACGAUCUAUGGAUGAAAGCGGGGGAUCGCAAGACCUCGCGCGAUUGGAGCGGCCGAUAUCAGAUUAGGUAGUUGGUGAGGUAAAGGCUCACCAAGCCGACGAUCUGUAGCUGGUCUGAGAGGACGACCAGCCACACUGGGACUGAGACACGGCCCAGACUCCUACGGGAGGCAGCAGUGGGGAAUAUUGGACAAUGGGCGAAAGGACCUGAUCCAGCAAUGCCGCGUGAGUGAUGAAGG
This 386-nucleotide ribosomal RNA is filed under the name uncultured bacterium. RNAcentral's name for it is "bacterial SSU rRNA". It matches the Rfam family "Bacterial small subunit ribosomal RNA", at positions 29 to 414 of the family's 1533-position model. The record is from RNAcentral.